CAUUCCGCAAGACUAUGAAGAUCACUACAAUACAACAGUUUUAACAAUACAUUUAAAUUCUGUGGCGUAAACAGUGUUGGAAGUCGUUGUUUGCUGAAUGACAAAUAAAAUGAAGUAUAAGUUCGAGUGGCCACCCCUGCAACAGUAGCAGUAGUUCUCACCGCUGCUCACCCCACAACCUACAAAGAUGUUGGCAAUAUUUGGACAUCAUCUGUGGAAACACUACACGCAGUGUUUGGAACAUACCUGACAAACAUCACCAUCAAAUAUAAGGCUGCAACAUACUGGCUGAAGAUGGUUGAAAAAGAUAAGAUGGCAGAAAUCAAAGGUGAGCACAUCCAUAUAUUGGAACAACUAAGACUUUGGACAAAGAUACAGGCAAAGGGAGUAA
Long non-coding RNA from Schistocerca americana (American grasshopper), 391 nucleotides. RefSeq lists it as uncharacterized. Lineage: Eukaryota; Metazoa; Arthropoda; Insecta; Orthoptera; Acrididae. The transcript is spliced from 3 exons. The record is from RefSeq and is a predicted model, not a curated record.